UUGUGUUUAAGUUCGGGACUUAACCCAGUGUCGCAUGGGAAACUGCAAGGCUUGAGUGCAGAAGAGGAAAGUGGAAUUCCACGUGUAGCGGUGAAAUGCGUAGAGAUGUGGAGGAACACCAGUGGCGAAGGCGGCUCUCUGGCCUGUAACUGACGCUGAGGCGCGAAAGCGUGGGGAGCAAACAG
Molecule: ribosomal RNA, 185 nt
Filed under: uncultured bacterium
Lineage: Bacteria
Description: partial 16S ribosomal RNA
Rfam family: Bacterial small subunit ribosomal RNA
Source: RNAcentral